UACGUAGGGUGCAAGCGUUAAUCGGAAUUACUGGGCGUAAAGCGUGCGCAGGCGGUUUUGUAAGUCUGACGUGAAAGCCCCGGGCUCAACCUGGGAAUUGCGAUGGAGACUGCAAGGCUUGAAUCUGGCAGAGGGGGGUAGAAUUCCACGUGUAGCAGUGAAAUGCGUAGAGAUGUGGAGGAACACCGAUGGCGAAGGCAGCCCCCUGGGUCAAGAUUGACGCUCAUGCACGAAAGCGUGGGGAGCGAACAGG
RNAcentral lists this ribosomal RNA (253 nucleotides) under uncultured bacterium. RNAcentral's name for it is "partial 16S ribosomal RNA". It matches the Rfam family "Bacterial small subunit ribosomal RNA", at positions 524 to 776 of the family's 1533-position model. The record is from RNAcentral.